Nannospalax galili (Upper Galilee mountains blind mole rat) is the source of this 1114-nucleotide RNA transcript. It is a transcript of the gene named actin, cytoplasmic 2-like, with no coding region annotated. NCBI's taxonomy places the organism in Eukaryota, Metazoa, Chordata, Mammalia, Rodentia, Spalacidae. The record is from RefSeq and is a predicted model, not a curated record. The transcript has a single exon.
AUGGAAGAAGAAAUUGCUGUGCUGGCCAUCGACAAAGGCUCCGGCAUGUGCAAAGCUGGCUUUGCCGGCUAUGAUGCCCCCAGAGCCGUGUUCCCUUCCAUCAUCGGGUGCCCUCGCCACCAGGGCGUGAUAGUGAGCAUGGGCCAGAAGGACUCGUAUGUGGGUGAUGAGGCCCAGAGCAAGCAAGGCAUCCUGACCCUGAAGUACCCCAUCGAGCACCGCAUCGUCACUAACUGGGACAACAUGGAGAAGAUCUGGCACCACACAUUCUACAACGAGCUGCACGUGGCCCCCGUGGAGCACCCGGUGCUGCUGACAGAGGCCUCCCUGAACCCCAAGGCUAACAGAGAGAAGAUGACACAGAUCAUGUUUGAGACCUUCAACACUCCAGCCAUGUAUGUGGCCAUCCAGGCCGUGCUGUCCCUGGGCGCACCGCUGGCAUUGUCAUGGACUCUGGUGACGGGGUCACACACACAGUGCCCAUCUAUGAGGGCUACGCCCUUCCCCAUGCCAUCUUGCAUCUGGACCUGGCUGGCCGGGAACUGACAGACUACCUCAAGAAGAUCCUGACGAGCCAGGCUACAGCUUCACCACCACAGCCGAGGGGAAGAUUGUACUGGACAUCCAGAAGCUGUGCUAUGUUGCCCUGGACUUCAAGCAGGAAAUGACCACUGCUGCAUCCUCCUCCUCCUUGGAGAAGAGCUAUGAGCUGCCUGACAGACAGGUGAUCACCAUCGGCAACAAGGGAUUCUGGUGUCCAGAGGCGCUCUUCCAGCCCUCCUUCCUGGGUAUGGAGUCCAGUGGCAUCCAUGAGACCAUCUUCAACUCCAUCAUGAAGUGUGAUGUUGACAUCCGCAAGGACCUGCAUGCCAAUACGGUGCUGUCUGGCGGCACCACCAUGUACCCAGGCAUUGCUGACAGGAUGCAGAAGGAGAUCAUGGCCCUAGCACCCAGCACAAUGAAGAUCAAGAUCAUUGCUCCCCCUGAGCGCAAGCACUCAGCCUGGAUUGGUGGCUCCAUCCUGGCCUCACUGUCCACCUUCCAGCAGAUGUGGAUCAGCAAGCAGGAGUAAGAUGAGUCAGGCCCCUCCAUCGUCCACCAGAAAUGCUUCUAG